Molecule: non-coding RNA, 66 nt
Organism: Branchiostoma floridae (Florida lancelet)
Lineage: Eukaryota; Metazoa; Chordata; Leptocardii; Amphioxiformes; Branchiostomatidae
Source: Rfam
CAUUGGGUAGCUUAAACAUAAAGCGUUAACCUUUUAAGUUAAUGAUGAGUUACUACUCCCCGAUGG